Molecule: unclassified non-coding RNA, 194 nt
Filed under: uncultured fungus
Lineage: Eukaryota; Fungi
Description: sequence contains ITS1
Source: RNAcentral
UUCAUUUAUUUGCUUGUACCACUCAGAGAGAAUACCGCUGGCAAAACAAGAGUUUCGGGCCCUCGGCGGGCGCCUGGGUCCGGCGCGCUGGGGCGCCGGGGCGAUCCCGCCGAAGCAACAAAUGGUAGCGUUCACAAAGGGUUUGGGAGUUGUAACACUCAGUAAUGAUCCCUCCGCUGGUUCACCAACGGAGA